This 244-nucleotide unclassified non-coding RNA is filed under the name Crocicreas sp. RNAcentral describes it as "partial contains 5.8S ribosomal RNA, internal transcribed spacer 2, and large subunit ribosomal RNA". The record is from RNAcentral. Lineage: Eukaryota; Fungi; Ascomycota; Leotiomycetes; Helotiales.
AACGCACAUUGCGCCCCUUGGCAUUCCGAGGGGCGUGCCUGUUCGAGCGUCAUCACAACCCUCAAGCUCUGCUUGGUGUUGGGCAUCGCCAGCCUUGGUGUGCCUUAAAAUCAGUGGCGGCGCCAUCUGGCCCUCAGCAUAGUAGUAAUUCUCUUGCUAUAGGGACCUGGUAGGUGCCAGCCAUCAACCCCUAGUUAUAAUUAAGGUUGACCUCGGAUCAGGUAGGGAUACCCGCUGAACUUAA